Molecule: non-coding RNA, 139 nt
Organism: Prunus avium (sweet cherry)
Lineage: Eukaryota; Viridiplantae; Streptophyta; Magnoliopsida; Rosales; Rosaceae
Source: RefSeq, a predicted model, not a curated record
ACAUGGAGUUUUCCAGCUUCUCAAGCGGGACUGAACGUGCUGUCAAGACUUGGCAAGCCUCCUUAGACGCCCCUCAAGAUGGCAUAGUGACUGCAGAACUUCUUGAACAAUUAUAUACGGUGGCACAAAUUGAGGGUCU